UGUCCGUGUGUAUGUGUGCAUGUGCAUAUGUCAUGUAGGUAUACAUGUGUAUAUGUAGACACAUGUAUAUGCAUGCA
This 77-nucleotide microRNA precursor is filed under the name Otolemur garnettii (small-eared galago). RNAcentral describes it as "miRNA (ENSOGAG00000021369.1)". Lineage: Eukaryota; Metazoa; Chordata; Mammalia; Primates; Galagidae. The record is from RNAcentral.